GUUAAAUGAUAAAUCAGUCACAAACUGCUGGUUAUUUCUUUAAAAAGCAAAAGGAAAGUCCUAAUAAAAUUCAGUUUCACAUGUACGAUUGAAAAAAAUACACUAUAUGGCCAGAAGCAUAUGGACACCCCUACUAAUGAUUAAGUUUAGGUUGUUAACAAGUGUUUAAAAUCCAGCAAUUAGCCAUGAAGUCUCAGCAGACAAACAUUAGCUGUAAAAUGGGUCAUACUAAAGAGUUCUGUGACAUUAAAUGUGGCAUGGUCGUGAGAUGUCACCUUUGUCACAAGUCAAUCUGUGACAUUUAUACCCUACUCGAUCUGUUCUGGUCAACUGUGAGUGCUAGACUACACAAGUCCCAGACCAGAAGCUCCAAGUGCUGUGUAUAGAUCGCCUAUCAUCUGUUGCAUCACCUUUUACAGAGUUCAAACUGCCCCCAGUAGCCUAUCAGCACAAGAACUGUGCAUUGGUAGCUUUAUGAAAUGGGUUUCCAUGGCAUUUUGUAACUACGAAGUAAAGACAACUCCAUAUUAAUGCCCAUGGAUUUGGAAUGGGACAUUCAACAAGCUCAUAUAGGCAGAAUUACAAGUUGUCCAUAUACUGUAGGCCAUGUAAUGCUUUUUAAACAGUGUCCCUUUUGUAUUGGCAAAUAAAUAAUUCACACAUACAUAAUUAAAGCAAAUAUUUCAGAUAUUGGCAUUGAAUGAACUGAAUAUACAAAGUAUAUAAAAUAACAAUAUAUUGCCGUGGAUCAUACUGGAUUGUACUUUUUUCAGGGUGAGUUAAAACAAAGCAUAUUCCAUAAGUUCAGGAUUCUGUACCAGCCAGAGCAACGAAGUGAAUUAUGGGAUUUGUAGUCGGACACACUUAGUGUAGCCAAUUAAAGCUGCUCGGUAACUACCCCCUCUGAAAAAUGUAAUUGUGUAUUUUAUAAAGAUAAAAUAUUUAUGAAAAACUCACACUGACUGUGUUGGAAUACAUUAACCUGACCUGCACCGCACCCCCAGGUCACUAUACACAAAAAAAAUUAUAUUGCCAUCAAAGGCUCUUUGCAUAUUUUGAAGGUAACAAAUCCACUUUAAUUUAACUUUGCUUUUCAC
Molecule: non-coding RNA, 1097 nt
Organism: Pelobates cultripes (western spadefoot toad)
Lineage: Eukaryota; Metazoa; Chordata; Amphibia; Anura; Pelobatidae
Source: the annotation of a GenBank genome assembly